AUCCCAUGAUGAGGACAUUUGCUGAGCAACUCCUUGAACCUUUCCCAUAAAUCAUACAAGGAUUCUCAAUCAUUCUUAAAUAAAUUGUUUAUCUAACCCUUAACCAU
Molecule: small nucleolar RNA, 107 nt
Organism: Humulus lupulus (European hop)
Lineage: Eukaryota; Viridiplantae; Streptophyta; Magnoliopsida; Rosales; Cannabaceae
Source: RefSeq, a predicted model, not a curated record